MicroRNA precursor from Cercocebus atys (sooty mangabey), 109 nucleotides. The record is from Ensembl. NCBI's taxonomy places the organism in Eukaryota, Metazoa, Chordata, Mammalia, Primates, Cercopithecidae.
AAGAAGCUUGUAGAUUUUUCUCCCUUACUAUCUAGAAUUAUAGGACUUCAGUCCAUGAUUUGGAAAAAUUACUGGAAUUGGAGUCAAAAAUAAUUUGAAAAUUAGGAAU